AGGAUUAGACACCCUGGUAGUCCACGCCGUAAACGAUGUCUACUAGCCGUUGGGACUCUUGAAGUCUUAGUGGCGCAGCUAACGCACUAAGUAGACCGCCUGGGGAGUACGGCCGCAAGGUUAAAACUCAAAUGAAUUGACGGGGGCCCGCACAAGCGGUGGAGCAUGUGGUUUAAUUCGACGCAACGCGAAGAACCUUACCUGGCCUUGACAUGCAGAGAACUUUCCAGAGAUGGAUUGGUG
This 243-nucleotide ribosomal RNA is filed under the name uncultured bacterium. RNAcentral describes it as "partial 16S ribosomal RNA". It matches the Rfam family "Bacterial small subunit ribosomal RNA", at positions 774 to 1016 of the family's 1533-position model. The record is from RNAcentral.